This 1351-nucleotide ribosomal RNA is filed under the name human gut metagenome. Its description in RNAcentral is "bacterial SSU rRNA". It matches the Rfam family "Bacterial small subunit ribosomal RNA". The record is from RNAcentral.
AGAGUUCCUUUUUGGCUCAGGAUGAACGCUGGCGGCGUGCCUAAUACAUGCAAGUCGAGCGAACCACUUCGGUGGUGAGCGGCGAACGGGUGAGUAACACGUAGGUGAUCUGCCCAUCAGACGGGGACAACGAUUGGAAACGAUCGCUAAUACCGGAUAGGACGAAAGUUUAAAGGUGCUUCUGGCACCGCUGAUGGAUGAGCCUGCGGCGCAUUAGCUAGUUGGUAGGGUAAAGGCCUACCAAGGCGACGAUGCGUAGCCGACCUGAGAGGGUGAACGGCCACACUGGGACUGAGACACGGCCCAUACUCCUACGGGAGGCAGCAGUAGGGAAUCUUCGGCAAUGGACGAAAGUCUGACCGAGCAACGCCGCGUGAGUGAUGACGGCCUUCGGGUUGUAAAGCUCUGUCUUUGGGGACGAUAAUGACGGUACCCAAGGAGGAAGCCACGGCUAACUACGUGCCAGCAGCCGCGGUAAUACGUAGGUGGCAAGCGUUGUCCGGAAUUAUUGGGCGUAAAGAGGGAGCAGGCGGACUUUUAAGUGAGAUGUGAAAUACCCGGGCUCAACUUGGGUGCUGCAUUUCAAACUGGAAGUCUAGAGUGCAGGAGAGGAGAAUGGAAUUCCUAGUGUAGCGGUGAAAUGCGUAGAGAUUAGGAAGAACACCAGUGGCGAAGGCGACUUUCUGGACGAAAACUGACGCUGAGGCGCGAAAGCCAGGGGAGCGAACAGGAUUAGAUACCCUGGUAGUCCACGCCGUAAACGAUGAAUACUAGGUGUAGGGGUUGUCAUGACCUCUGUGCCGCCGCUAACGCAUUAAGUAUUCCGCCUGGGGAGUACGGUCGCAAGAUUAAAACUCAAAGGAAUUGACGGGGGCCCGCACAAGCGGCGGAGCAUGCGGAUUAAUUCGAUGCAACGCGAAGAACCUUACCUAGACUUGACAUCUCCUGCAUUACCCUUAAUCGGGGAAGUUCCUUCGGGGACAGGAAGACAGGUGGUGCAUGGUUGUCGUCAGCUCGUGUCGUGAGAUGUUGGGUUAAGUCCCGCAACGAGCGCAACCCUUAUUGUUAGUUGCUACCAUUUAGUUGAGCACUCUAGCGAGACUGCCCGGGUUAACCGGGAGGAAGGUGGGGAUGACGUCAAAUCAUCAUGCCCCUUAUGUCUAGGGCUACACACGUGCUACAAUGGCAAGUACAAAGAGAAGCAAGACCGCGAGGUGGAGCAAAACUCAAAAACUUGUCUCAGUUCGGAUUGUAGGCUGAAACUCGCCUACAUGAAGCUGGAGUUGCUAGUAAUCGCGAAUCAGCAUGUCGCGGUGAAUACGUUCCCGGGCCUUGUACUCACCGCCCGUCA